Molecule: ribosomal RNA, 495 nt
Filed under: uncultured bacterium
Lineage: Bacteria
Description: partial 16S ribosomal RNA
Rfam family: Bacterial small subunit ribosomal RNA
Source: RNAcentral
UGAACGCUGGCGGCGUGCCUAAUACAUGCACGUCGAGCGAACGGACGCGAAGCUUGCUUCUCUGCUGUUAGCGGCGGACGGGUGAGUAACACGUGGAUAACCUACCCAUAAGACUGGGAUAACUUCGGGAAACCGUAGCUAAUACCGGAUAAUAUUUUGAACCGCAUGGUUCAAAAGUGAAAGACGGUCUUGCUGUCACUUAUAGAUGGAUCCGCGCUGCAUUAGCUAGUUGGUAAGGUAACGGCUUACCAAGGCAACGAUGCAUAGCCGACCUGAGAGGGUGAUCGGCCACACUGGAACUGAGACACGGUCCAGACUCCUACGGGAGGCAGCAGUAGGGAAUCUUCCGCAAUGGGCGAAAGCCUGACGGAGCAACGCCGCGUGAGUGAUGAAGGUCUUCGGAUCGUAAAACUCUGUUAUUAGGGAAGAACAUAUGUGUAAGUAACUGUGCACAUCUUGACGGUACCUAAUCAGAAAGCCACGGCUAACUACGUG